GAUGACUUUUUAUCUGCUGAAUGUACAAUACAAAGUAAGAAGGUUAUUACAUGAUAGGAAAAAUUCAAUUCUAAAGCUGAACCAGCCUUUAGUGGGUCACUCAAAAUAUUAAACAACUACAUCUACUUAUUUCCACAAAUCAUGUUUGUAUUUGGAAGUACAACAAACACAAUCUGUGCCAAAUGAAAAACAAAACAAGUGGAACUAUCUACAUGCCAUUGUACAACAAUCACAGGACUCUAAAAUAUAUUUUCUAACUGACUUUUACAAGAUAGGUAUGGUAUGGUACAGAGAGACCUAAUAUAUGCCCCAGAAAAGUGAGUUUUCAGACUGAUAUAGUACAGCCUAAUUCCCUAGCAGCAGUAUCAAGAAAUUGAGCAGACAUUCCAUUUUCAAGCCGGCUACUAGCUUCACACAUCAAACACUUCUCAAUAUCCGCUUUCCAGUCAAUGAUGCUUAUGCUAAGGUACUGAUAAGCAGGAUUAUGGAUGGCAUUAACAUCUGCUGCUUGUUUGGCACUUGGUUUUACUGAACCAGCAUACAUAAUGUCACGAAGAACUGAUGUACUGAGAGCACGGACAUGUGCA
Molecule: unclassified non-coding RNA, 587 nt
Filed under: Hevea brasiliensis (rubber tree)
Lineage: Eukaryota; Viridiplantae; Streptophyta; Magnoliopsida; Malpighiales; Euphorbiaceae
Source: RNAcentral